UUGACCUCGGAUCAGGUAGGGAUACCCGCUGAACUUAAGCAUAUCAAUAAGCGGAGGAAAAGAAACCAACAGGGAUUGCCUUAGUAACGGCGAGUGAAGCGGCAAUAGCUCAAAUUUGAAAGCUGGCCCCUUCGGGGUCCGCGUUGUAAUUUGUAGAGGAUGAUUCGGCGAGGGCUCCCGUCUAAGUCCCUUGGAACAGGGCGUCAUAGAGGGUGAGAAUCCCGUAUGUGAUGGGCUGCCUUAGCCAUGUGAAUCUCCUUCGACGAGUCGAGUUGUUUGGGAAUGCAGCUCUAAAUGGGAGGUAAAUUUCUUCUAAAGCUAAAUACCGGCCAGAGACCGAUAGCGCACAAGUAGAGUGAUCGAAAGAUGAAAAGCACUUUGGAAAGAGAGUUAAAAAGUACGUGAAAUUGUUGAAAGGGAAGCGCUUGCAGCCAGACUUGUCCGCAGUUGCUCAGCUUGUCUCCUGACAGGCGUACUCUUCUGCGGCCAGGCCAGCAUCAGUUCGGGCGGUCGGAUAAAGACCUGGGGAAUGUAGCUCCUCUCGGGGAGU
RNAcentral lists this ribosomal RNA (550 nucleotides) under Neofusicoccum parvum. RNAcentral's name for it is "eukaryotic LSU rRNA". It matches the Rfam family "Eukaryotic large subunit ribosomal RNA", at positions 1 to 554 of the family's 3401-position model. The record is from RNAcentral. Lineage: Eukaryota; Fungi; Ascomycota; Dothideomycetes; Botryosphaeriales; Botryosphaeriaceae.